ACCUUCAUGGUGUAAUGGUCAGCAUGCUCGACGCGUAACCGAGAGGUCCGUGGUUCGAUUCCCGGCGAAGGCG
RNAcentral lists this transfer RNA (73 nucleotides) under Stegodyphus mimosarum. It matches the Rfam family "tRNA". From Rfam's summary of the family: Transfer RNA (tRNA) molecules are approximately 80 nucleotides in length. The record is from Rfam by way of RNAcentral. Lineage: Eukaryota; Metazoa; Arthropoda; Arachnida; Araneae; Eresidae.